Long non-coding RNA from Ictalurus punctatus (channel catfish), 1013 nucleotides. The record is from Ensembl. Lineage: Eukaryota; Metazoa; Chordata; Actinopteri; Siluriformes; Ictaluridae.
CAGCAACUCUUCAUACAAUGAUUAACUGCUCUUGUUUGACAUCUACUUUUCAGAUGCAUCUGUAAGUAACUGUUAUGGGCCUUCUUCCAUUUUGCAUCCAAUCCGCUUGACAAUGGCACCCACAGUUACCCAGGAGACAGGCCUUUAUGUGAGGGGCAUGUGCUGAAAAAAGAUGUUUUCUACCUCUCUCUUGUCCAGUUUUCCACGCGUUCUGCCUUUUUUUCUGGAAAAUGGGGGUAAAUUGAGCUUGGAGAUGAUUCCUGAACCAGUGGUUGCUCUGUGCUCUCCAUUUUUGCUUCAGGAACAGCAUUGGAGUUGUGGUGACAACAGUGGAAUAUCUAUCCUGAAAGCGCUGCUUGAUACUAGUUCUGAUACAAAGUUGCGUUUGACCAUUAUAUAAAAAAAAAUGUCUGGCCACCUAACCAUUUAAUCUUACCUGUCAAUGUAUGUGAUGCUCCUGAAUUACAUUCACAGCACAGAAUGUCUAAACGUUUUCUUCCUUCUUCAGCCAGAUGUUUUUAAAUGGUGUAAAAGGUACUAUGCAGUUUGGUUCUAAAUAUUGCUGGACUGGCUGAAAAAGUGCUAUGGAUAAUAUUUCAACAGGGAGCUCUCCUUACGUGCAGCCUUCAGCAAUGAUGGAUAAUGCUUGCAUCAGGUUACUCUGGCCUCUCAUUUAACCAAGCCUCAACAUUAUAAUUACCAACCAUGCAUUCCACCUGGAAAAAAUCUUCCAGCAUGGAUUGGUCAUUCCAGAGAUAACCUGUCCUUUGCUAAUCGGGAGAAGGAGGAAUGAUUUUGGACCACCUUCAAUGUACUAAGGGACAUGCUACUAACACUAUGGCAUUCAAUUAUGACCAUUUUAUUAGGUACUACACUGUUAGCCCAGAUUUCAUAUCUACUUAAGAAUUUAAUUACAACAUGCUUAAAUUAUUUAAGUUUGAGUGCAUUACUAAAAAAAUUAAGCAGAUUCUACUAAUUUGUUCACAUAUUUCAAUGUAUGAAUAAUUUUAAGU